CGGCGGCGGUGGCAGUGGAGGCUGCGGAGGUGGACUACAGCUCUAACAUCUCGGUGUUUCCGAUGGAGGCGUGCGACCUCAUCGGCGGCGAGGCGUGCAACGUGCAGAUGUACCCAGAGGCCAAGCUCUCAUCAUCGGCUGCUGUUGCUGUUUCUCGUGCGGCGGCGGAGGAAGUCGACAGGGACUACCUAUCCUACGACGAGCCCACCACGGUGUUCCCCGAGGAGGCGUGCGACGAUCUGGGCGGAGAGUUCUGCAAGGCCACCUGAUCCCAUUCCCAUCCAUGGAGAAUUGGAGUCUUCUAUCAUCCUUCCUCCUCUGCUCCACUACCUUAAUUCCAUGUAG
Molecule: unclassified non-coding RNA, 345 nt
Filed under: Hevea brasiliensis (rubber tree)
Lineage: Eukaryota; Viridiplantae; Streptophyta; Magnoliopsida; Malpighiales; Euphorbiaceae
Source: RNAcentral